RNAcentral lists this ribosomal RNA (470 nucleotides) under uncultured bacterium. RNAcentral's name for it is "bacterial SSU rRNA". It matches the Rfam family "Bacterial small subunit ribosomal RNA", at positions 8 to 524 of the family's 1533-position model. The record is from RNAcentral.
AGAGUUUGAUCCUGGCUCAGAACGAACGCUGGCGGCAGGCCUAACACAUGCAAGUCGAGCGCCCCAGCGAUGGGGAGCGGCGGACGGGUGAGUAACGCGUGGGAACGUGCCUCUUGCUACGGAAUAGCCUCGGGAAACUGGGAGUAAUACCGUAUGUGCCCUACGGGGGAAAGAUUUAUCGGCAAGAGAUCGGCCCGCGUUGGAUUAGGUAGUUGGUGGGGUAAUGGCCUACCAAGCCGACGAUCCAUAGCUGGUUUGAGAGGAUGAUCAGCCACACUGGGACUGAGACACGGCCCAGACUCCUACGGGAGGCAGCAGUGGGGAAUCUUAGACAAUGGGCGCAAGCCUGAUCUAGCCAUGCCGCGUGAGCGAUGAAGGCCUUAGGGUUGUAAAGCUCUUUCAGUGGGGAAGAUAAUGACUGUACCCACAGAAGAAGCCCCGGCUAACUCCGUGCCAGCAGCCGCGGUAAU